This is an RNA transcript of Vanessa tameamea, 446 nucleotides long. RefSeq lists it as uncharacterized. NCBI's taxonomy places the organism in Eukaryota, Metazoa, Arthropoda, Insecta, Lepidoptera, Nymphalidae. The record is from RefSeq and is a predicted model, not a curated record. The transcript is spliced from 3 exons.
CGUCCUCUUAAGUCUUCUAGUAGGAGUACUAUAUGGUUUACACAUCCUCGCUCAAGAUUACCAAGCCAUCACUGCACCGAAACUGCUGCGCCUACUUUUUAAACGAGACAUUAAUUCCACAAACAAUUACACUCCAACAGUAAGAUGGAAGAGAAUAUUAAAAUACGAUCCACUACAAUGUGCCCGGUACCUCUAUUGUGAUCUUGGAGCUCGUUCAGCAGACAGUGACUUGCGACGAGGUUUAAUAUACAUGUUGGCCUUAGAAGUAAAGGAAGAGGACAAAAUAGCUCAGAAAGAAUUCGAAUCCGCAUACUCCAAGGGAAGAUCAAUACGCAAUAAUCCGGAACAUUGUAAAAAAAAAUAUUCAAUAUGUCCCUUCGAUGCUCCUUUAUUACUUGAUUUGGUAAAUUAUAUACUUAAAACAAAGAGUUGACGUCUAAGUGAUA